ACGCUCGACACCUACGGAGGCAGCAGUGAGGAAUAUUGGUCAAUGGGCGCUAGCCUGAACCAGCCAAGUAGCGUGAAGGAUGAAGGCUCUAUGGGUCGUAAACUUCUUUUAUAUAAGAAUAAAGUGCAGUAUGUAUACUGUUUUGUAUGUAUUAUAUGAAUAAGGAUCGGCUAACUCCGUGCCAACAGCCGCGGUAAUCUGAGCGGGCUGGCAAGGC
Molecule: ribosomal RNA, 217 nt
Filed under: uncultured bacterium
Lineage: Bacteria
Description: partial 16S ribosomal RNA
Rfam family: Bacterial small subunit ribosomal RNA
Source: RNAcentral